Molecule: long non-coding RNA, 7867 nt
Organism: Chrysemys picta bellii (western painted turtle)
Lineage: Eukaryota; Metazoa; Chordata; Testudines; Emydidae
Source: RefSeq, a predicted model, not a curated record
AGCGGAGCUAGAGCGCCGCAAGGGAAACCGGGUCACGUGGUCUAUGAGGUUUCCAUCGGCGGACAAUCCUAUCGAGGCACCGCGCGGUACAGUGGCCCGCCCCGGAUGUGGGGCGCAGGGAGAGGAGCCGCUGCAGGAUAGGUAAUGAGAACCCCACCUCCCGCGUCUCCAACGCCGGCCCCUUCCCCCGCAGCCUGAGGAAAGUUCCGCCUGGAUCGGAUCCGGGCGGAAAUGAGUUCCAGGGCCCGUGAUCUCUACUGGCUGCAGUACCUCCACAGCUCACCCACACUGCAGUACAAGUCUGGACAAUGUAGCUUCACUGACCGUUCCAAGAGGAAGCAUUUCUGUGAUGAACUUAUGGUUGAAGUUCUUGACAGGACCAACAAACAGGUCCAGUACCAAAACCAGAAGGACUUACAGCUAGAGAAAAGGCAUGGUGAGAGACAAGAGGACAGGCUGAGGCUGGCUGCAUAGCUUCAGGACAGGGCUUCAGCAUGGGAGCAGGCACUUCCUUUGCAGUUCCUGAAACAGGAACGGUGGCUAAAGGAGGAGGACAGAGCUCAGCAGAGAGAACUGUUUGAGUGGCUGAUAUCACUAAUGGCUGCGAGAGUAAUAGCUCCUGCCACACCCACAUCCCAGCCUGAGUGCCCGGCACGGUACCAUCAGAUGCAGUCCAGAAACAGCUUGGCUGGGUGGACCAUGCAGUCGGGCUCCAGGAGUGGCUGGGCAGGGCAACUUAGCCCCAUGUAGUCCUCCGUCUUUGACUCUUUCCCUUGUGGAUGCCUCCACCUCCCUUCUUCAGUACUAAGAGAUCGGGAAACAGGGAAAGAAGGGAAAGGAGAAUCAGGGCCAUGACACAUGCAACAAUAGGGGGUUUCUGUCUUGUACAUGGUUUCACUGUUUGCACUUGUUCGUGCACUUUUUUUGGGGGAAGAUUCUGUUGUUACCAGGAGUGGUGGAAGCACCCUAAAAAUGGGGGGGGCCACAGGAGCCCGAACCGCUCCGCACCCUUUGAGCUGCCUCUUCCCCCCCGAGGCUCCACCCUCACGCUGCCCCUUCCCCCCGAACUUCUGCUCCCAUGCCGCCCCUUCUCCUUGAGCCCCCACUCCCGCGCCGCCCCUUCAUCCCUAGACUCCACCUCCUGCUCACUACUCUCCGUCCCCUCCCCCCAUCACUCACCCUUACGUCUGGUAAAAAGUGGGGAGGCCAGGGGGCCAUGCCCCCCCCCGUUUCAGCUUCCCUGGUUGUUACUAGUAUUUUGGUGUGGCAGGCAGGCCAGCUGCCAUUAAAAUGGUUCAAUGUUGUACUUUUCUAAUACAUGUUAUAAACAAAGCUUUUUAUGUCACCAAGGAAGUUUGUUGCUAUCACUACAGCACAUCAUACAAUGUGUAUUUGAAAUAAUAAAGGUAAACGCAUGAUAAGGGACAAUUAGGAAUUAGUAAGCUAACACUAUUCCUCGAUAUGGUUAGGUACAUCAAUCCACUUCAAUCAUUUCCUUAUAUGAAUCCAUACUGUGAAUCAUCCCCCAUCCCCAUUUCAUAAGUGGCCAUGUCAUCCAUAAGUACACUGCAUGACAAUCAAGCCCCCAUCCCUCCCCAAGCACUGAAUCCCCCCCACAGUCAAUGAGCUCCAUUCCCUCCCCCCAGAAGCACAUUCAUAAAGGUACUAUUACUCCUCUUCCCUUGAGCCAUGCAAGUCCAUAAUGCGGGUGCACAAAGCAUCCCUGACUUCUGUUGCCCGGAUACAUCCAGCUCCAGCUGUGGUAGGUGGACUUUCUGGCUGAGUGUACCAAUUCAGCAGCCCCUCGCUGUCAUAGGUCCAUUCAGAGGGAAAUGGCGCACCUCUGGCGUCACAAAGAUUGGGAAGAGCACAGCAAGCCAUGGUAGUGCAGACAGCAUUGAUGACAUUGGCAUCCAAAUGCGUCUGUAGACGUCUCCAAUGGGAUUUCAAUCUGCCAAAAACACAUUCAACAACCAUUCUACACUUGCUGAGAGUGUAAUUGAACUGUCUUUUACCAGGGCCUCUGAAAUCAGGGUAUGGUUUCAUAAGACAAGGCAAAAGGGAUUAUAUGGGGCCUCCCAGAAUAACAGUGGGCACAGUGACACCAUUAUGACAAUGUCAUUUCGUCAGGCUAGUGUCCCAGCUUGUCCAUGAAUGUAGAGCCCUGAUUGGCAAAAAACCCUGGCAUCAUGAACUUUCCCAGUGGAGCCCACAAUGACACUCAUAAAUCAGCCUCUGUGGUCCAUGAGUGCCUGGAUAACUAUGGAGUAAUACCCACUGUGGUUUAUGCACUCCUUUGAUACAUGAUGAGGGCAAACUAUGGGCACACGAGUCCCAUCAAUGGCCCUGGCACAGUCUGGAACCCCAUUUUCUCAAAUCCAGCAAUUACCUCAGGAAUAUCUUUUAUGCCCGCCACCUUGGGUAAACCACAUACCUGCUUGCCUCAGAAACCUCCACCACCACUUUACCUACAGUUGACUUCCAACACCAAACUGGCUGUCAAUAGAUCUAGAGUAGUCUAGGCUAGCCAGCUUCAAGGUUUAAUACUGCAGCUGUCAUCCCCAGGAGUCACCCAUUGGUCUCAUGGGGCCCUAGUAGGCCGUCUUUCCAACCCUUCCACAAAUGGAAUCUCAUCUUGGAUAGAAGAUCCCAUCCGUUUUCUGGUUCAGAAGAAAGACCUUGUGUCAGUUCAAGCACAUCUUUUUAUACCAAAAGCAGUGACUGUCUCCUUGUCUCUGGAAAACUCAGCGUGAACCAGGAUAUGAAAAUCACUCCAGGAGGUGGUACCUCUUUGUUUAGUCUCAGUGAUUCACCUUCAUCACCUCCCACUGUUUUUAGUUCCUCUAGGAGCUAUGGUAAGCAUCCCCCAUGGAGUAGAACACAAUCAUACAUAAACCAUUCAUAGAUUUAAUAGAAUAUGGUCACCAAAGGUAAUGCAUGUAAUUACAAUAUUGGUCACAUCUCCCUCCAUACAGAAGUGAAUGUCACUAGGGUGCUUGAUCAUCAUCCUAGGAGAACCUACAGGUUCAUUCCCUGGCUGGCAUGACAGUCAAUACCUUUUAUACUUUCAAAUUACAAUUUCUUCCCCAUAGCCCAAAUCCUUUCUCCAUCCCACCUGUCUGGAGGUCAGGGACUGGGAAUCCCUGUGGCAUGACCUCAGCUUGGGAUGGGGGAGGAGGAAGAUUACUGAACCCUCCCUACACCCACCCAUCCACUCUCUCGGAGGGUUGGCCUUUUGUUCCUCACACACUGCAUCAAAGUCAUGGCAAGCAGCAUUUCCUUCCCCACCAGUCUCAGACUCUAUUACAUUUUCACAGAUCAUCAAGCAGUCAAACUGGGGGAAGAAAUUCCCUUUCCUUCUUGGCUGUCUAAACAAUUGGUUACUUUGUUACCUGCAGGGAGGAUCCUACCCCCACUUCUUUCUGUCAGCGACCUCAUUUGCAUUCUGGCUCACGCCUCCCUCUACAUGUUGGGAGUCAGCUGAGGGAGUUUGAUUCACCCUCUCUGCCUUUCCUGGAUAAAAGCCUGAAUUUGGUUUUAAAGCCCUUGUAUCAUUUCCAACAUUCCUCUCAUCUUCCCAUAGUCAGAGUUCCAGGACCUUCUUUGGUGUCCCACAUUAACUGUGGCCUUAAGCAGAGCACUGGGGUUCAUCUGCCGGCUUCUGGAUAUGUACAUCCUUAUGUCCUUCCUCCUGGGUUCCAUGGGUGUGACUUGACCCUCUUCUCCUGAUUGGGCCAGUAGCGUUUGUCCUGGUCAGCAAACUCCUGUUGCUCAGGUCAGUCUCUAGCUCCCCCCAUCUCUCCUGCAUCUUUUCCACUCCAGCCUCCAUGUCUCUGGACCUCGCUGCUAACUCUGCUGGACUGUCUAUGGCACCAUCUCCUUGGUCCCCUGCAUGCCAUAAGGAGGAAAAGGGAGCUCUUCUAGCCCCUGUCUGAAGGAGGUACCCCAUCCUGCUGUAGAAUGGCACCAUAGAGCACCACAUGGUAAUAAGCCUUGCUCAAAGCAAGUCUAAUCCAAAUGUUGAUCUGUGCGCUAUGGGGAGCAUUGGUGAGUGGACGUAAGGUGUGUUAGAGAUGUUCGAGUUGGAUCAUGCCAAAUUUCUAUAGUGUAGAUGAGAACACAUAUUGAACACUGCUGCUGCAAAAACUUGGAAUUGAGAUUCAGUGAAGGAUUUCAGCAUAUCCUAUUAGCACUUCAUUGUAUUAAGAUAACUUAAUAAGGUGCUGUUCAAUACAACAAAGGAAGCAUAAACUCUAUUACAAAGUAGAACUGGGUUCCUAGCAAUUUGAUUAAUAAGUGUUAACCUGAACGCUAGUCUGGUAGUAAUUUUCCUUCCUAUUCAUUUCUUUACACUUAGGUUAAGGUGCUCCGUGUGUGUGUGUGUGUGUGUGUGUGUGUGUAAAAGUUGAUUAAGCAUUUCUAUUCAUUCUGCUCUUGACUGAUUAAUUUAAAAAUAUGCAGUUAAAUGUUUACAUAAUGGAUAAUUAAGUUUAUUUAUGAAAACACACACAGUUAAUAUUGUCAAUUACUUCACAGAAUGAUAGUCAUAGCUAAUGUGCAGCGAAAGAUCUCUUGGACCAUUUAAUCCAACCAGCUGCAUUGGGCAGUAUAUUAAUCCACCUUAAAAGGUAUCUAGCUUUAUAAUUAGCAUCGCUAGAAAUGGUACUAUAAUUACCAUUGCCAGCUUUCUUGCAAUGUCUGGUUGCUCUUACAAUGAAAGCUGAUUUCACUGUAAAUAUUUAAAGAGCUAGAUUCAUCCCUGACUUCAAAUUCAUUGACUUCCACCAUGUGAGAAUUUAGCUUAGUGAGUCAAACAUUCUCAGUUACAUCCCUUCAAGCCUAUUUACUUCAGUGAGUCGUACAGGUUGGCAGAAUAUGGCCCACUGAUAUAAGUUCUCUCUUCAAAAGGCUAUUUAUUACUGUUCUUGCCAAAUUCAGCAUCAUCGUUUAAAUGGCUUUUAAAGGAAAAUCCCUCCCUUCCCCCAGCAAGCUACCGUCAUUUUGCAUUGUUAACAAAAUUUUGAGGCCAUUACUUCUAAUGGAGAGGGUUAAUGGCUGCAGUGCAAUGAGCUGAAGUGGGAGGCAGGUACAAAUAAAAACGGAUCACAGAAAGUGUGGAGAGGAGAUUACUAGAGAAGAGCUGUUGGGUCAUAGUUUCAAAGGGCAUUUUGCAAAAUAAUGCUUUAAUUAAGUUAUGCAAUAUUCACAGCAGUACAAACCGGCUACUCAAGACCAUUUUUUAAGAAGGACUUCCUCAAGCUAAGCAAUACCACAUUGGGCCCGUAAACUGUACUUGUAUAAAUUGUAGUCUUUGCUGCAUCAGACCCAUACCAUAGGGUUCACUGGAUUUAAAAUGUAUUUUAUUGUGAGGUAAUGUGAUGAUUUUUAAUGUUUAUUGUUUGUUGCACUCACUUUCUGUGUCUUGUCUUGCUUUGAAAUUUCAAAAAUCUAGACCAGCUCUAGGGAUCAGUUGGCAGAGAGUCUUAGCUUUUCUGCAUUUGAUAAACAAUGUCCUAAUUGUAUUUAAAAGUAUGAGUUGCACAAAUUCACUUGACAUUCUAUAUUACUUACUUUCCAAGUAAAGAAUUUCCCACUUUUUGAAUAAACUGCUGUAGCAAGCAACACUUCAAAAGAUGCAAGAGGCUGAAAAAAUGAUUAGACUAAUGUAGUUAUGCAUCCGAAGAAGUGGGCUGUAGUCCACGAAAGCUUAUGCUCUAAUAAAUUUGUUAGUCUCUAAGGUGCUACAAGUACUCCUGUUCUUUUUGUAGUUUUGAUAAGCUCUCAAAUAUCCUGUAGGGUUUUAAGCCCUUGGACAUAUGCAAUGAAUUGUGUCUGAGGCACAUUAGACAACUUGUCUUUCUACAUUUGUAUCUGUGAAGGUCAUGGAAAAGGCAGCCUCUUAUGUACAAUGUUGUUUGCUCUAUGAGACAUGGUCAGCCAUCUUGACUUCCCAUGAAGAAUGAAGGAAUUGUUGACAUAUUUUUAUAAAUAUCAUAUGCACCUCAGGUUACCAGUGUGAUAUUACCCUACCUGACUGCAUGGACUUAGAUCAAAGGAAGCUAUUAAGGGAACUGUAACAAUGGCAAAGCUAUUAACUGGGGAAUGGCCUGCCUGACUCCAGCCAGACAGGCAAGAUUUACUUUUCUCAGACCUGAGCCUAUGAUCAAAGAGAAUACUAAAAGCUUAAGGAUGCCAGCCCAGAGAAGAAAGGGAGUUGAGUGGGUUGCCAGAAAUGGUUGGAGAGAAGGCUCUGGCAGAAAGAGACACAGAAACUGCAGCAAGCUUGCUGUCUCUCCCAAAGCAGAGAUGGAGGUAACUGGGCUGAAUGGAACUUUGCAAAGCAUGCAAGGAAAGAUUAAGUUUUGGGUAAGGGGAAAUAUGCACAUAGGCCUUUAUUGUUUUGAUUCUUUGAUCUGUGUGCAAUGUACCUUUGGGUGAAUCAAUAACACUUUAGUUUGAAGAAGCUGUUUUUGAGUCACUUUUAUCAGCUGCUGUCAUGGAUUCCUUCAAGAAGAGGACUUACAGGUGUCAAACACAGUUGGACUUAUUGGGUUAAUAAGGUAAGGGUGGUGCAGCCCAGAGAUCUGGCCUGUGUGGUUCUUCCCAGAGAGGGGUGAAGGUAGUGAAACCUGUCAUGAAAGGGACUAAGUAGGGUCUAAAGCUCAGUUUGCCCGGUAACUGUGACGCCUCCUGUUACAUGCUACUCUCUCUGUGGCCUAAAAGUCUUGCAGCUCUUUUAAACAGAAUUAUAUUGUUAUUUUGAGCCUAGUCCAACGCCCACAAAAGUCCCUGGAAAAUCCAGUUUUCCCCAAAUAUGUCUGUGGGAAGAUGGUUUCUGAGGUUUUGGUUUGAUCCAUUGUAGUGAAAGAGGUCAAUUUAAAAGCCUGGAUCAGGAUGUGGGUCUAACUGGCUGCAAGUUUAGUGGUGAGGUGUGCAGGUUGGGAUUCAGGGGUUUGUUUCAGGCCUAUCUCUAAUGUUAAUAUCUGUGUGGUGUGUUGAAGAUGCAAAAUGAAAUACAAAUGCUAAGUUUAUUACAAUUAUUCUUUGCAGUUUACUACAAACAAUGUAGACUACAAUCUGUAGUACUGUAAGUGGACACAAAAUAGUGGUUGCUGUCUAUGCACGUCGCUGUUAUUCUGUAUUGAAUGAUUAAAUGGAUUUUGCCUGUGGUACAUGACGCAAGCCAGUUCUGUGAAACUCUGGCAGAGGAUACACUAUCAAAGCAUGAGAGGGCUAAGAUAAGAGUAGCUCUGCCACAAAGUCUACUUGCUUUUAUGUAUUUGCCUCCAAGUUCCCAGUCCUCGAACUCAUCACCUGUGUAUGUGAGGAUACUAUAAUUCAAUGAUAAAUAAUAAUAAUAGUAAUCACUGAAUUCUCAUGCUACUUUGAUACUGUCAUGUCAUUUCCAUCUCUCCAUUAUCAGGAGAUAAAAAUCAAUGUUAAAAUAUGUCAACAGUAACAUUAAUUCUACUUAAUUCAACCAUUGUUUAAUUUGAUCUUCUGCAAUCCAAAGAAAGCCACAUAUGUCUACUUCAUCUUUAAAUGUAAGAAACCUGUCUGCAGCGGUGACCCGUGGGGGGGGGUGUCAUGCAGGGGUCAUGCCCCCCCCCCCCAAAGUUGCUGCUUGGCUUGUACUGAGCAAACUCACACAGACUGAGCAGGCUCAGUAACAUCUGCUGAAGUCACUGCCCUCAUUCUGCCCCUCCCCUCACGUCUGUUUACUAGAGGGCAGGCCUGGGAGGGGAAUCAAGAUGGAUGGCCUAAGAGAGUGAGAGGCACUCUAUUAUCUUUCCUGUGGAUAUUUUAUAUUUGUUACUUCUUUGCUGUUUUCCUUAAUCUAAAAUAAAAGCCAUUUACUCUGCAAUUA